AUUGAACGCUGGCGGCAUGCCUUACACAUGCAAGUCGAACGGUAACAGGUUAAGCUGACGAGUGGCGAACGGGUGAGUAAUACAUCGGAACGUGCCCAGUAGUGGGGGAUAGCCCGGCGAAAGCCGGAUUAAUACCGCAUACGACCUAAGGGUGAAAGGGGGGGAUCGCAAGACCUCUCGCUAUUGGAGCUGCCGAUGUCAGAUUAGCUAGUUGGUGGGGUAAAAGCUCACAAAGGCGACGAUCUGUAGCUGGUCUGAGAGGACGAUCAGCAACACUGGGAAUGAGACACGGGGCAGACUAAGAAGGGAGGCAGAAGGGGGGAAGAGUGGAAAAGGGGCGCAAGCCUGAGCCAGAAAGAAAGCGUGGGUGAAGAAGGGAUUCGGGUAGUAAAGAACGUUUGUGGGGAAAGAAAAGCAGAAGGUGAAUAACGCGGUGUUCUGACGGGACAAAAAGAAUAAGAACAGGCUAACUUCGUG
This 477-nucleotide ribosomal RNA is filed under the name uncultured bacterium. Its description in RNAcentral is "partial 16S ribosomal RNA". It matches the Rfam family "Bacterial small subunit ribosomal RNA", at positions 29 to 507 of the family's 1533-position model. The record is from RNAcentral.